This 368-nucleotide ribosomal RNA is filed under the name uncultured organism. Its description in RNAcentral is "bacterial SSU rRNA". It matches the Rfam family "Bacterial small subunit ribosomal RNA", at positions 526 to 896 of the family's 1533-position model. The record is from RNAcentral.
CGGAGGGUGCAAGCGUUAUCCGGAUUCACUGGGUUUAAAGGGUGCGUAGGUGGGCAGGUAAGUCAGUGGUGAAAUCUCCGGGCUUAACCCGGAAACUGCCGUUGAUACUAUCUGUCUUGAAUAUAGUGGAGGUGAGCGGAAUAUGUCAUGUAGCGGUGAAAUGCUUAGAUAUGACAUAGAACACCCAUUGCGAAGGCAGCUCGCUACACUAUCAUUGACACUGAGGCACGAAAGCGUGGGGAUCAAACAGGAUUAGAUACCCUGGUAGUCCACGCCCUAAACGAUGGAUACUCGACAUCAGCGAUACACAGUUGGUGUCUGAGCGAAAGCAUUAAGUAUCCCACCUGGGAAGUACGACCGCAAGGUUG